RNAcentral lists this ribosomal RNA (472 nucleotides) under uncultured bacterium. RNAcentral describes it as "SSU rRNA". It matches the Rfam family "Bacterial small subunit ribosomal RNA", at positions 26 to 521 of the family's 1533-position model. The record is from RNAcentral.
AGGACGAACGCUUGCGACGUGCCUAAGAAAUGCAAGUCGAACGGACAGUAGCAAUACUGUUAGUGGCGAACGGUCGCGUAACACGUGGGCAACCUGCCCUGAAGCGGGGGACAACAACUCGAAAGAGUUGCUAAUACCGCAUGUGAAUCGCUGUGGCAUCACAGAGGAUUCAAAGCCGCAAGGCACUUCAGGAUGGGCCCGCGGCCUAUCAGCUAGUUGGUGAGGUAACGGCCCACCAAGGCUUCGACGGGUAGCUGGUCUGAGAGGACGAUCAGCCGGAUUGGGACUGAGAUACGGCCCAGACUCCUACGGGGGGCAGGCAAUUAGGAAUCUUGCGCAAUGGGCGAAAGCCUGACGCAGCGACGUCGCGUGAAGGAUGAAAUCUUUCGGGAUGUAAACUUCUUUUCUGAGGAAGAAACAAUGACGGUACUCAGAGAAUAAGCCCGGCUAACUACGUGCCAGCAGCCGCGGU